Molecule: ribosomal RNA, 429 nt
Filed under: bacterium
Lineage: Bacteria
Description: partial 16S ribosomal RNA
Rfam family: Bacterial small subunit ribosomal RNA
Source: RNAcentral
UAGGGAAUCUUCGGCAAUGGGGGAAAGAAGGAGCGAGCAACGCCGCGUGAGUGAAGAAGGUUUUCGGAUCGUAAAGCUCUGUUGUAAGAGAAGAACGUGUGUGAGAGUGGAAAGUUCACACAGUGACGGUAACUUACCAGAAAGGGACGGCUAACUACGUGCCAGCAGCCGCGGUAAUACGUAGGUCCCGAGCGUUGUCCGGAUUUAUUGGGCGUAAAGCGAGCGCAGGCGGUUUAAUAAGUCUGAAGUUAAAGGCAGUGGCUUAACCAUUGUUCGCUUUGGAAAAUGUUAAACUUGAGUGCAGAAGGGGAGAGUGGAAUUCCAUGUGUAGCGGUGAAAUGCGUAGAUAUAUGGAGGAACACCGGUGGCGAAAGCGGCUCUCUGGUCUGUAACUGACGCUGAGGCUCGAAAGCGUGGGGAGCAAACAGG